This 406-nucleotide unclassified non-coding RNA is filed under the name uncultured Rhizophagus. RNAcentral describes it as "sequence contains 28S rRNA gene". The record is from RNAcentral. Lineage: Eukaryota; Fungi; Glomeromycota; Glomeromycetes; Glomerales; Glomeraceae.
AGUUAAACAGUACGUGAAAUUGUUGAAAGGGAAACGAUUGAAGCCAGUCGUACCUUCGGGUAAUCAGCCUUUCGGGUGCGAUUCUGUGAGGUGUGAGGAGUUAAACGCCUUCAUGUUUUGCAUAUUCGUGCUCUUGGGUGUACUUGCCCGUGUGGUUGGUUAACGUCAAUUUUGGACGCCAUAAAAUGACUGGAGGAAUGUAGCUUCGAUCUCGUAUUGAAGUGUUAUAGCCUUUGGUAGAUGUGGUUUUCGAGAUUGAGGAUUGCAACGGAUACCCUUCGGGGCUACCUAUCUGAUCUCUGAUCGUUGCUCUGGUGGCGAAAGCUUGCUUACGGAUAUCAAAGUCGAUGGUCAAUAGGUUAGAAUAGGUUAAAUUCGUUAAGGAUGUUGACGUAAUGGCUUUAAA